This 481-nucleotide ribosomal RNA is filed under the name uncultured bacterium. Its description in RNAcentral is "partial 16S ribosomal RNA". It matches the Rfam family "Bacterial small subunit ribosomal RNA", at positions 28 to 507 of the family's 1533-position model. The record is from RNAcentral.
GAUGAACGCUGGCGGCGUGCUUAACACAUGCAAGUCGAACGAAGCACUUUAUUUGAUUUCCUUCGGGACUGAUUAUUUUGUGACUGAGUGGCGGACGAGUGAGUAACGCGUGGGUAACCUGCCUUGUACAGGGGGAUAACAGUUGGAAACGGCUGCUAAUACCGCAUAAGCGCACAGCAUCGCAUGAUGCAGUGUGAAAAACUCCGGUGGUAUAAGAUGGACCCGCGUUGGAUUAGCUAGUUGGUGAGGUAACGGCCCACCAAGGCGACGAUCCAUAGCCGACCUGAGAGGGUGACCGGCCACAUUGGGACUGAGACACGGCCCAAACUCCUACGGGAGGCAGCAGUGGGGAAUAUUGCACAAUGGGCGAAAGCCUGAUGCAGCGACGCCGCGUGAGCGAAGAAGUAUUUCGGUAUGUAAAGCUCUAUCAGCAGGGAAGAUAAUGACGGUACCUGACUAAGAAGCACCGGCUAAAUACGUG